This 467-nucleotide ribosomal RNA is filed under the name uncultured bacterium. RNAcentral's name for it is "partial 16S ribosomal RNA". It matches the Rfam family "Bacterial small subunit ribosomal RNA", at positions 28 to 507 of the family's 1533-position model. The record is from RNAcentral.
GAUGAACGCUGACAGAAUGCUUAACACAUGCCAGUCAACUUGAAUUUGGGUUUUUAACUUAGGUUUGGGUGGCGGACGGGUGAGUAACGCGUAAAGAACUUGCCUCACAGCUAGGGACAACAUUUGGAAACGAAUGCUAAUACCUAAUAUUAUGAUAAUAGGGCAUCCUAUAAUUAUGAAAGCUAUAAGCGCUGUGAGAGAGCUUUGCGUCCCAUUAGCUAGUUGGAGAGGUAACGGCUCACCAAGGCGAUGAUGGGUAGCCGGCCUGAGAGGGUGAUCGGCCACAAGGGGACUGAGACACGGCCCUUACUCCUACGGGAGGCAGCAGUGGGGAAUAUUGGACAAUGGACCAAGAGUCUGAUCCAGCAAUUCUGUGUGCACGAUGAAGUUUUUCGGAAUGUAAAGUGCUUUCAGUUGGGAAGAAAGAAAUGACGGUACCAACAGAAGAAGUGACGGCUAAAUACGUG